RNAcentral lists this ribosomal RNA (468 nucleotides) under uncultured bacterium. RNAcentral describes it as "partial 16S ribosomal RNA". It matches the Rfam family "Bacterial small subunit ribosomal RNA", at positions 28 to 507 of the family's 1533-position model. The record is from RNAcentral.
GACGAACGCUGGCGGCGUGCUUAACACAUGCAAGUCGAACGGAAAGGCGCUGCUUUUGCGGGGUGCUCGAGUGGCGAACGGGUGAGUAACACGUGAGUAACCUGCCCUUGACUUUGGGAUAACUUCAGGAAACUGGGGCUAAUACCGGAUAGGAGCUCCUGCUGCAUGGGGGGGGUUGGAAAGUUUCGGCGGUAGGGGAUGGACUCGCGGCUUAUCAGCUUGUUGGUGGGGUAGUGGCUUACCAAGGCUUUGACGGGUAGCCGGCCUGAGAGGGUGACCGGCCACAUUGGUACUGCGAUACGGCCCAGACUCCUACGGGAGGCAGCAGGGGGGAAUAUUGCACAAUGGGCGGAAGCCUGAUGCAGCAACGUCGCGUGCGGGAUGACGGCCUUCGGGUUGUAAACCGAUUUCGCCUGUGACGAAGCGUGAGUGACGGUAAUGGGUAAAGAAGCCCCGGCUAACUACGUG